This is a long non-coding RNA of Aethalodelphis obliquidens (Pacific white-sided dolphin), 484 nucleotides long. RefSeq lists it as uncharacterized. The transcript has 4 exons. Lineage: Eukaryota; Metazoa; Chordata; Mammalia; Artiodactyla; Delphinidae. The record is from RefSeq and is a predicted model, not a curated record.
GAAGAGAGACAAUUCCUCGCCUCCCCCCAGCCCUCCACGGUUCCUGCCUGACCACCAUCACCUACACAUGCAACUCCAACCCCUUUGUUCCCAAGAUAUUUGUACAGAAUGUAGAGGGGCUUUUGGAGGCGUUCAGUUUACCGCUGGAGUAAUGUUAUGUGCAAUGAAUUCUGAGUUUCAACAAAUGAUUCUACUUAAGAAAAGUAAUCAUCAGAUGAGCCACGGACCUGGAUCACGUGUAGACUUUGGACUCAGUAGGCAUGGCACACUGGUCUGGACAGAAGAGGGUGCUUCUCACCAGAGGUCCCUGGUCUGGGGCUCUGGGUGCCUUGGCACUGCCCAGAGGCUAGUACCUUCGGGCAUGGACAGCUGCCUUACUGAUAUGCCACCACCCAACACUUAGGAGGCUGUUGGUACAAAAAGGCCAGAAAAUGGAAUGAAAAGAUUCCACAUAUGUGACAUCAUACAGUAUUUAUCUUUUUCU